AUGUAAUGUAGCAUGCCCGUUUGUGGAAUUACUCUGAUGUUGAAUUAAUUAUUAUUAUUUAAUUGCUUUUGGGUAAUGGGGUGUUACAAUUGG
Molecule: microRNA precursor, 93 nt
Filed under: Medicago truncatula (barrel medic)
Lineage: Eukaryota; Viridiplantae; Streptophyta; Magnoliopsida; Fabales; Fabaceae
Description: MIR2617 microRNA precursor family
Rfam family: MIR2617 microRNA precursor family
Source: Rfam by way of RNAcentral